ACUCUUUCAACCCGACCGGUUUCUUGUUAGAUCGGAUGGUGUUUGGAUUUUGAGUGUUGCUGGUCUUCGGACGAAGCUCAUUCGUAAUACAUUAGCAUCUCAAUUUCGAACUUCGGAUUGACUCAGCGUAAUAGACUAUUCGCUGAGGACACCUCACGGUGGCCGAAAUAGAAGACAGUUAGAAGCUCCUAAUCAGAUGUUAGUCAAGUUUUAG
Molecule: unclassified non-coding RNA, 214 nt
Filed under: uncultured Chrysozymaceae
Lineage: Eukaryota; Fungi; Basidiomycota; Microbotryomycetes
Description: sequence contains ITS2
Source: RNAcentral